UACGUAGGGUGCAAGCGUUAAUCGGAAUUACUGGGCGUAAAGGGCUCGUAGGCGGCCAACUAAGUCAGACGUGAAAUCCCUCAGCUUAACUGGGGAACUGCGUCUGAUACUGGAUGGCUUGGAUCCGGGAGAGGGAUGCGGAAUUCCAGGUGUAGCGGUGAAAUGCGUAGAUAUCUGGAGGAACACCGGUGGCGAAGGCGGCAUCCUGGACCGGUAUUGACGCUGAGGAGCGAAAGCCAGGGGAGCAAACGGG
Molecule: ribosomal RNA, 253 nt
Filed under: uncultured bacterium
Lineage: Bacteria
Description: partial 16S ribosomal RNA
Rfam family: Bacterial small subunit ribosomal RNA
Source: RNAcentral